Non-coding RNA from Xyrichtys novacula (pearly razorfish), 384 nucleotides. The record is from the annotation of a GenBank genome assembly. Lineage: Eukaryota; Metazoa; Chordata; Actinopteri; Labriformes; Labridae.
GUUAGGGUUAGGGUUAGGGUUCGAGUUAAGGUUAGUGUUGGAGCUAGGGUUAGGGUUGGGCUUGGAGCUAGGAUUUUUCUGAGUGCAAUGAACCAACUCCCGAGUCUCUAGGACGUUCCUAAAAAAAUUUGAUUUUUUCCCAUAGGAAUGCAUGGGUUAGGGUUAUGGUUAGGGUUAGGGUUGGAGCUAGGGUUAGGGUUAGGGUUAGGGUUGGAGUAAGGGUUAGUGUUGGAGCUAGGGUUAGGGUUGGGCUUGGAGCUAGGAUUUUUCUGAGUGCAAUGAACCAACCCCCGAGUCUCUAGGACGUUCCUAAAAAAUUUGAUUUUUUCCCAUAGGAAUGCAUGGAUUAGGGUUAGGGUUAGGGUUGGAGCUAGGGUUAGGGUU